GUGCGUCGUAACUAGUGCUUGAAACAUGAAAAGUACGGUUUUCGACGCAUGUAGCAUGUAAAAUACAUUUAGUUCACAAAAAGAUCUCUUCUAAAUUGGUUACUGCCUUUGUGAUCAAGUCAGAUGUGAGCUAUACUGUCCUUUCAGAAUUUUCAUUGACGCUACCUAGUGCUUCUUUAACUGCUUGGACACGCAAAGUAUGUGGUGCCACCACAAGGAAAUAAUUAGAACUAACCAUUUGUCUGUCAAUGGUGCCAAUCGACAAAAUCAAAAAUGAAUCUGAAUUCGUUGGUUCAAUUGAAUGUAGGAAGUAUGUAGGAUGUAAAAGUAAUGCAUCCUACAACCGUAGUCAUACUAUGAUUGGGCACCUGUAGUAAAAAAUUGAGCAACUUUAGCG
Long non-coding RNA from Bradysia coprophila, 397 nucleotides. NCBI's taxonomy places the organism in Eukaryota, Metazoa, Arthropoda, Insecta, Diptera, Sciaridae. The record is from RefSeq and is a predicted model, not a curated record.